GUAGAAUUCCGUGGAUGGAAGUUGGACCAGAUGAGUGGACCGGGCUUCUGCUACAGAUUUCUAAAGAUAAGGCUCCAUUUGGCUCCACCGGAACUGCGUGGUCACCAGAGAAAACAACAAUUUCGAAGUAGUUUCAGCCACAUCUAGCAUUGACUUGACUUGCAGGUUCAGUAACUGCCUGUCUUGAGAUGGCUUCCGCAGAAUGACUAGUAUUCCAUACUAUCACCAAGCCAUGACACAGUUUUGAAGAAUUUGAAGUCCCGAAGCGCACAAGGAGGAGCUCCGCGGAUCUACAUCGAUUACAGGCCAGAAAUCAUGUAGGUCUGAUAUUUCAUGGGUAAGAAGAACAAGGAGGACACCUCAAGUUGAAGAUCAUAGCCAGCUACUUGUGUUCACCGACAAACUAGCACACUCUCGUCAUGUCGAUAGCUCCAUGACAGUUCAGGAUCUCUAUGACAACAAGAACAGAGGUCAUUUUUUGGCUUAAUAAAAAACUCUAGCUAUUUGUUUCUCCAUACAUCUGGAUAUACUAUUAGAUGGGUGUUGAGAAAAAUAUGGAAGUAAGCUACCUGGAACUGUCACAUUAGCCUACGUUCAUAUUAGCGAGGUGGCAGUUGCCAUCCUAAUUAUAUUGAGGAAAUAUAAACAGCUAGGCCACCACCCAACAGUGAGACGUUAGCACAUAUCAGAAAAUAAUGGCGGAGACUGUGAUUCUUCUAGCCAUUCAAAAGAUUGGAAUUGCCUUAGCAAAUGGAGCGGCAAACCAGGCCAGUGCACUGUUUGUGAAGUACGGCACGCAACUACUAAAAUUACAGCGCGGCAUGGAUCGUGUUGUGAGGGAGCUUCGUUUAAUGCAUGAAUUUCUGUGUCAAAUGGACAUUCGAAACCGCAAGAAACAAGCAUAUGAGAUCUGGUUGGGGGAGGUACGGAAAGUAGCACAUCUGAUGGAGGACAUGGUGGAUGAGUACUUGUAUCUAGUUGGUCAGGAACAUGAUGUUGGCUUUUUCUUUUUCCUGAAGAAUGGGUUCAAAAAGCCAAGAUCUCUACUUUCUUUGAACCAGAUAGCUUUUAAGGUGAAGGAAAUAGAGAAAGACCUUUCACACCUGUCAGAGACAAAAACCCGUUGGGUUCUCGUGAACAAUGAGGAUACUAGCAGCUCGGACUACAUUGUUAAGAGGUCCCAAGAGCUAGCAAACAUUUCACGUUGCCUUGAGGAGGAAGAUCUAGUGGGGGUCGACAAGAAAAGAGAAUUACUUCAGCAGUGGUUGGCAGGUGAUCAAUUGGAACGCUCUGUGAUAGCACUGCUUGGAAUGGGAGGGCUUGGUAAAACAGCUUUAGCUGCAAAUGUCUACAGGAAUGUGAGGGAGAAAUUUCAGUGCCAUGCAUGGGUCUCCAUCUCUCAAACUUAUUCUAGAGAAGAUGUCUUGAGGAAUAUAAUCAAGGAACUUUCUAGAGAUAAAGACAGUGUUCUAUCUAACACUGCGGGUAUGGACAUCACAUGCCUUCAAGAGACGCUAAAGAAGUUUCUGGAGCAACACAAGUAUUUGAUCAUUUUGGAUGAUGUUUGGACUCCAGAAGUAUUUAAUGAUUUGUCUAGGAUAUGUAUUCAUAAUGAGAAGGGCAGCCGGCUGCUAAUCACAACAAGGGUAAGCCGUGUUGCUGCGCUUGCCUCUCAAGGGUGCAUCUUAACACUCGAAGCUUUACCCGAAGACAAGGCACGGGAUCUCUUUUGUAAGAAAGCCUUUCCAAGAGAUACGAAUUAUGAAUGUCCAGUGAAGUUGAAGCCUUUGUCUAAUGAAAUAUCUAGCAAGUGCAAAGGAUUGCCUCUUGUUAUUGUGCUAGUUGGUGGCCUCUUCCUUGUGCAUGAGAAAACUGUGGAAGAAUGGAGAAGAAUAAAUGCCCAAUUAAAUUGGGAGCUGAUUAAUAAUCCGGGGUUCGAUCAUAUCAGGAAUGUUUUUCAUCUCAGCUUUAUCUAUCUUCCAACACAUUUGAAAAGUUGUGUCCUGUACUGCAGCUUAUUUCCAGAAGACUAUAUUUUCAAAAGGAAACAACUUGUACGGUUAUGGAUCGCAGAGGGGUUCGUCGAGGAGAGAGGUGAAUGCACAUUAGAAGAAGUGGCGGAGGGAUAUCUAAAGGAGUUGACUGACAGAAACAUGCUACAACUUGUUAAGAGGAACACUUUUGGUAGGGUGAAGAGAUUUAGAAUGCACGACAUCAUUCGUGAUUUGGCAGCUGAUUUGUGCAAGAAGAACUGUUUUGGUGUUACAUAUGACGAUAAUUGUGGGUUGUCUAUUGAGACAAAUGUGCGUCGAUUGGUACUACGCAAACCAAAGAAGGAUAAUCAUCAGCCUUCGGGUAUGCACCAACUUCGUACAUUCAUUACACUGGACAAAAUCAUGCCAUCACUCACUCUACUACCUCUGCUAUGUAAGGAGUCAAGAUAUAUGACAGUGCUAGAACUAAGUGGUCUGCCCAUUGAGAAGAUUCCAGAUGCUAUCGGUGAUCUUUUUAAUCUCCGCCAUUUGGGUUUACGUGAUACAAAAGUGAAGGUUCUCCCGAAGUCUGUUGAGAAUCUUUGCAAUUUGUUAACACUGGACCUUUAUGAAUCUGACAUACAUAAGUUGCCCAGUGGGAUUGUGAAACUAAAGAAGCUUAGGCACUUAUUUGCUGUGAUAGUAAUUGAUCGAGAAGGAAAAUUGUCUAAAUAUGGUGUGUGUUUCCCCAAUGGUCUUGGAAAUCUAACAAACCUGCAGACGCUGCAGGCAUUGGAAGUACAAGAGGAGUCUCUUAGACAUUUAGGGGAGUUGAGACAAAUGAGAAGCUUGAGGUUAUGUAAUGUGAAAGGAAUUUAUUGUGGGCGCAUCAGUGAGUCUCUAGUUCAGAUGCCGUAUUUGUCCUUCCUAGAUGUGAUUGCAAGUGAUGAGAACGAGGUUCUAAAGUUGAAUGUCCGCGUGCCAAGCCUGCAAAAGCUAACUUAGAGAGGGCGACUAGCGGAAGGGGCGUUGGACGAGACUCCUCCCUUUCAAGCUGGUAGGGGGCAGAACUUGUAUGAAUUGCAUCUAUUUUGGUCCCAGCUGAGAGAAGACCCCCUGCCACCCCUUUCUCGGUUAUCAAACUUGACGCGUCUAGAUCUCACCACAGCAUACAGCGGAGUCACUGGUUGGUUUCCCAAGCUAAAGGUUCUCUGCCUAAGAGACCUGCCUGAUCUGAGUCGGCUAGAGAUACAUCAAGGUGCCAUAGAGAUCCUGGAGGAAUUAAUCUUAAUCAACCUCAGCAGCAUGACGGACGUCCCACCUGGCAUUGAGUUCCUCACGUCCCUCAAGAACCUAGGUUUCUACAAGAUCAGCAGAGAUUUCUUGACAUCCCUGCGCCAGUGUCCUGCAAUUCGAGGGAAGUGGCGAUAUAGUCUCCGAGAUUGACCUGCUACUCUGGUCUGGAGACAAUGCAUGUACGUAAGGAAGGAAGAUGCCUCACCAACGAGUUAAGGCGCCGAUGCACCUCAAUCAAUAUGCACACAACAGUGCCGCUGCUGUUCUGCUUUACAGUCCGGAUUUCCUCUGCUGUUCCGAAAUGUCCAACUGCCCAUCUCCACCCCUAAAUUUGCUGCUACCUCCACUACGUACAGUGCUUCAUUUCUGCUACUACUACUGCCUGCGUUCACUACUGCUACCAUGUCCGUGCAUUGGGUUUCCUCUGCUGUUCGUGAGACGGCGAGUUUACUGGCAUUUGUGUGUUUCCAUAUUAAAACUAAUUUACGUAUGUGUGCUUAUUGUAAGCCUGCGACUGAGUCGUGUUUCCAUUUUCAGACCUUUUUUCUUUUUGCAUUACCUGUUUGAACUCUGUACUUCUAUGCAUGUGUGCUAGCUGAGAACUAUGUCGCCUAUUUCAGCAGUGGCUGUUAAAUAAAAGACUUGGUUUGUACUUCGUAAUGUUCAGGUAUGCAUUUACUUUUCCA
This 3955-nucleotide ribosomal RNA is filed under the name Triticum aestivum (bread wheat). RNAcentral's name for it is "partial small subunit ribosomal RNA". The record is from RNAcentral. Lineage: Eukaryota; Viridiplantae; Streptophyta; Magnoliopsida; Poales; Poaceae.